This 253-nucleotide ribosomal RNA is filed under the name uncultured Acidobacteriota bacterium. RNAcentral's name for it is "uncultured Acidobacteria bacterium partial 16S ribosomal RNA". It matches the Rfam family "Bacterial small subunit ribosomal RNA", at positions 524 to 776 of the family's 1533-position model. Lineage: Bacteria; Pseudomonadati; Acidobacteriota. The record is from RNAcentral.
UACGGGGGGGGCAAGCGUUGUUCGGAAUUACUGGGCGUAAAGGGCUCGUAGGUGGCCCCAUAAGUCAGACGUGAAAUCCCUUGGCUUAACCAAGGAACUGCGUCUGAGACUGCGGGGCUUGAAUCCGGGAGAGGGAUGCGGAAUUCCAGGUGUAGCGGUGAAAUGCGUAGAUAUCUGGAGGAACACCGGUGGCGAAGGCGGCAUCCUGGACCGGUAUUGACACUGAGGAGCGAAAGCCAGGGGAGCAAACGGG